GAAACUGCCCAGUAGUGGGGGAUAGCCCGGGGAAACCCGGAUUAAUACCGCAUACGCCCUUUGGGGGAAAGCAGGGGAUCUUCGGACCUUGCGCUAUUGGAUGUGCCUAUGUCGGAUUAGCUAGUUGGUGGGGUAAGAGCCUACCAAGGCGACGAUCCGUAGCUGGUCUGAGAGGAUGAUCAGCCACAUCGGGACUGAGACACGGCCCGAACUCCUACGGGAGGCAGCAGUGGGGAAUAUUGGACAAUG
Molecule: ribosomal RNA, 249 nt
Filed under: uncultured bacterium
Lineage: Bacteria
Description: partial 16S ribosomal RNA
Rfam family: Bacterial small subunit ribosomal RNA
Source: RNAcentral